This 492-nucleotide ribosomal RNA is filed under the name uncultured bacterium. Its description in RNAcentral is "partial 16S ribosomal RNA". It matches the Rfam family "Bacterial small subunit ribosomal RNA", at positions 29 to 507 of the family's 1533-position model. The record is from RNAcentral.
AGUGAACGCUGGCGGUAGGCCUAACACAUGCAAGUCGAACGGCAGCACAGUAAGAGCUUGCUCUUACGGGUGGCGAGUGGUGGACGGGUGAGGAAUACAUCGGAAUCUACUUUUUCGUGGGGGAUAACGUAGGGAAACUUACGCUAAUACCGCAUACGACCUACGGGUGAAAGCAGGGGAUCUUCGGACCUUGCGCGAUUGAAUGAGCCGAUGUCGGAUUAGCUAGUUGGCGGGGUAAAGGCCCACCAAGGCGACGAUCCGUAGCUGGUCUGAGAGGAUGAUCAGCCACACUGGAACUGAGACACGGCCCAGACUCCUACGGGAGGCAGCAGUGGGGAAUAUUGGACAAUGGGCGCAAGCCUGAUCCAGCCAUACCGCGUGGGUGAAGAAGGCCUUCGGGUUGUAAAGCCCUUUUGUUGGGAAAGAAAAGCAGCAGGUUAAUACCCCGCUGUUCUGACGGUACCCAAAGAAUAAGCACCGGCUAACUUCGUG